UACGGGGGGGGCAAGCGUUGUUCGGAAUUACUGGGAGUAAAGCGUGCGUAGACGGUUACAUAAGUCGGGUGUGAAAGCCCCGGGCUCAACCUGGGAAUUGCAUUCGAGACUGCGUAGCUAGGGUGCGGAAGAGGGAAGCGGAAUUUCCGGUGUAGCGGUGAAAUGCGUAGAUAUCGGAAGGAAGACCAGUGGCGAAGGCGGGUCUCUGGACAGUUCCUGACGCUGAGGCACGAAGGCCAGGGGAGCAAACGGG
RNAcentral lists this ribosomal RNA (253 nucleotides) under uncultured bacterium. RNAcentral's name for it is "partial 16S ribosomal RNA". It matches the Rfam family "Bacterial small subunit ribosomal RNA", at positions 524 to 776 of the family's 1533-position model. The record is from RNAcentral.